RNAcentral lists this ribosomal RNA (764 nucleotides) under uncultured Streptococcus sp. Its description in RNAcentral is "bacterial SSU rRNA". It matches the Rfam family "Bacterial small subunit ribosomal RNA", at positions 28 to 775 of the family's 1533-position model. The record is from RNAcentral. Lineage: Bacteria; Bacillati; Bacillota; Bacilli; Lactobacillales; Streptococcaceae.
GACGAACGCUGGCGGCGUGCCUAAUACAUGCAAGUAGAACGCUGAAGGAGGAGCUUGCUUCUCUGGAUGAGUUGCGAACGGGUGAGUAACGCGUAGGUAACCUGCCUGGUAGCGGGGGAUAACUAUUGGAAACGAUAGCUAAUACCGCAUAAGAGUAGAUGUUGCAUGACAUUUGCUUAAAAGGUGCAAUUGCAUCACUACCAGAUGGACCUGCGUUGUAUUAGCUAGUUGGUGGGGUAACGGCUCACCAAGGCGACGAUACAUAGCCGACCUGAGAGGGUGAUCGGCCACACUGGGACUGAGACACGGCCCAGACUCCUACGGGAGGCAGCAGUAGGGAAUCUUCGGCAAUGGACGGAAGUCUGACCGAGCAACGCCGCGUGAGUGAAGAAGGUUUUCGGAUCGUAAAGCUCUGUUGUAAGAGAAGAACGAGUGUGAGAGUGGAAAGUUCACACUGUGACGGUAUCUUACCAGAAAGGGACGGCUAACUACGUGCCAGCAGCCGCGGUAAUACGUAGGUGGCAAGCGUUAUCCGGAUUUAUUGGGCGUGAAGAGAGUGCAGGCGGUUUUCUAAGUCUGAUGUGAAAGCCUUCGGCUUAACCGGAGAAGUGCAUCGGAAACUGGAUAACUUGAGUGCAGAAGAGGGUAGUGGAACUCCAUGUGUAGCGGUGGAAUGCGUAGAUAUAUGGAAGAACACCAGUGGCGAAGGCGGCUACCUGGGUCUGCAACUGACGCUGAGACUCCAAAGCAUGGGUAGCGACAGG